AACGAACGCUGGCGGCAUGCCUAACACAUGCAAGUCGAACGAGACCUUCGGGUCUAGUGGCGCACGGGUGCGUAACGCGUGGGAACCUGCCCUUAGGUUCGGAAUAACUCCCCGAAAGGGGUGCUAAUACCGGAUAAUGUCUUCGGACCAAAGAUUUAUUGCCUUUGGGUGGGCCCGCGUUGGAUUAGCUAGUUGGUAGGGUAAAAGCCUACCAAGGCCACGAUCCAUAGCUGGUCUGAGAGGAUGAUCAGCCACACUGGGAGUGAGACACGGCCCAGACUCCUCCGGGAGGGAGCAGUGGGGAAUAAUGGACGAUGGGCGAAAGCCUGAUGCAGCAAGGCCGCGUGAGUGAUGAAGGCGUUAGGGUUGUAAAGCUCUUUUACCCGGGAUGAUAAUGACAGUACCGGGAGAAUAAGCUCCGGCUAACUCCGU
Molecule: ribosomal RNA, 432 nt
Filed under: uncultured bacterium
Lineage: Bacteria
Description: partial 16S ribosomal RNA
Rfam family: Bacterial small subunit ribosomal RNA
Source: RNAcentral